GGGCCGGUAGCUCAGCGGUAGAGCAGCGGGCUCAUAACCCGACAGGCACAGGUUCGAAUCCUGUCCGGCCCA
This 72-nucleotide transfer RNA is filed under the name Patulibacter sp. RNAcentral's name for it is "tRNA-Ile". It matches the Rfam family "tRNA". Rfam says of the family: Transfer RNA (tRNA) molecules are approximately 80 nucleotides in length. Their secondary structure includes four short double-helical elements and three loops (D, anti-codon, and T loops). RNAcentral also lists the same sequence under 1 other name. The record is from RNAcentral. Lineage: Bacteria; Bacillati; Actinomycetota; Thermoleophilia; Solirubrobacterales; Patulibacteraceae.